Molecule: transfer RNA, 73 nt
Filed under: Candidatus Levyibacteriota bacterium
Lineage: Bacteria; Candidatus Levyibacteriota
Description: tRNA-His
Rfam family: tRNA
About the family: Transfer RNA (tRNA) molecules are approximately 80 nucleotides in length. Their secondary structure includes four short double-helical elements and three loops (D, anti-codon, and T loops). Further hydrogen bonds mediate the characteristic L-shaped molecular structure. tRNAs have two regions of fundamental functional importance: the anti-codon, which is responsible for specific mRNA codon recognition, and the 3' end, to which the tRNAs corresponding amino acid is attached (by aminoacyl-tRNA synthetases). tRNAs cope with the degeneracy of the genetic code in two manners: having more than one tRNA (with a specific anti-codon) for a particular amino acid; and 'wobble' base-pairing, i.e. permitting non-standard base-pairing at the 3rd anti-codon position.
Source: RNAcentral
GUGGCAUUAGCUCAAUGGUUAGAGCAUCAGGUUGUGGACCUGAGGGUUGACGGUUCGAGUCCGUUAUGCCACC